Molecule: ribosomal RNA, 178 nt
Filed under: uncultured bacterium
Lineage: Bacteria
Description: partial 16S ribosomal RNA
Rfam family: Bacterial small subunit ribosomal RNA
Source: RNAcentral
AGUCUACGGGAGGCAGCAGUGGGGAAUAUUGCACAAUGGGCGAAAGCCUGAUGCAGCGACNCCGCGUGAGUGAGGAAGUAUUUCGGUAUGUAAAGCUCUAUCAGCAGGGAAGAAAGAAAUGACGGUACCUGAGUAAGAAGCUCCGGCUAAAUACGUGCCAGCAGCCGCGGUAAUGACU